GACGAACGCUGGCGGCGUGCUUAACACAUGCAAGUCGAACGGAAAGGCCCUGCUUGCAGGGUACUCGAGUGGCGAACGGGUGAGUAACACGUGGGUGAUCUGCCCUGCACUUCGGGAUAAGCCUGGGAAACUGGGUCUAAUACCGGAUAGGAGCCAUUUUUAGUGUGAUGGUUGGAAAGUUUUUUCGGUGUAGGAUGAGCUCGCGGCCUAUCAGCUUGUUGGUGGGGUAAUGGCCUACCAAGGCGGCGACGGGUAGCCGGCCUGAGAGGGUGGACGGCCACAUUGGGACUGAGAGACGGCCCAGACUCCUACGGGAGGCAGCAGGGGGGAAGAUUGCACAAUGGGCGCAAGCCUGAUGCAGAGACGCCGCGUGGGGGAUGACGGCCUUCGGGUUGUAAACUCCUUUCGCUAGGGACGAAGCUUUUUGUGACGGUACCUAGAUAAGAAGCACCGGCUAACUACGUG
RNAcentral lists this ribosomal RNA (465 nucleotides) under uncultured bacterium. RNAcentral's name for it is "partial 16S ribosomal RNA". It matches the Rfam family "Bacterial small subunit ribosomal RNA", at positions 28 to 507 of the family's 1533-position model. The record is from RNAcentral.